CCUACGGGUGGCAGCAGUAGGAAAUAUUGCUCAAUGGGGGAAACCCUGAAGCAGCAACGCCGCGUGGAGGAUGAAGGUUUUCGGAUUGUAAACUCCUUUUGUUAGAGAAGAUAAUGACGGUAUCUAACGAAUAAGCACCGGCUAACACCGUGCCAGCAGCCGCGGCAAGACAGAGGGUGCCAGCGUUACUCGGAAUCACCGGGCGUAAAGGGCGCGUAGGCGGGAUAGCAAGUCAGAUGUGAAAUCCUAUGGCUUAACCAUAGAACUGAAUUUGAAACUGUGACUCUAGAGUAUGGGAGAGGUAAGUGGAAUUCUUGGUGUAGGGGUAAAAUCCGUAGAGAUCAAGAAGAAUACUCAUUGCGAAGGCGACCUGCUAGAACAUAACUGACGCUGAUGCGCGAAAGCGUGGGGAGCAAACAGGAUUAGAUACCCCAGUAGUC
This 440-nucleotide ribosomal RNA is filed under the name uncultured bacterium. RNAcentral's name for it is "partial 16S ribosomal RNA". It matches the Rfam family "Bacterial small subunit ribosomal RNA", at positions 338 to 795 of the family's 1533-position model. The record is from RNAcentral.